Long non-coding RNA from Haliotis rubra (blacklip abalone), 291 nucleotides. RefSeq lists it as uncharacterized. The record is from RefSeq and is a predicted model, not a curated record. The transcript is spliced from 2 exons. Lineage: Eukaryota; Metazoa; Mollusca; Gastropoda; Lepetellida; Haliotidae.
CAGUGCUGCCUCUUCUACCGAUACCCGUCUAUAUGGUCCUGACUGUCAGGAAGCAUAUGGCGACCAAUUCCCUAAAGAAGAGUAUAAAGAUUGCCUUGAGACCUGAUGCUGACUGGCGUCCUGCAAACCAAACUCCAGAUAAAGAGUCAGAGUGAAGGAUCAACAAAAAACUCGACCACCUUUGGAAAUCCGUACAAGGAUCUCAUCAAAUAAUAUCUUAUAAAACCAGUGUAGUGACAAUGAUAUACCACACCUAACAGCUAUCUGUAUUCCGUAUUACCAUCACAUUAU